GGCAGAUAGGAGGAGAUAUAGGGGAGAUAUAGGGGAUGUAGGGGGCAGAUAGGAGGAGAUAUAGGGGAGAUAUAGGGGAUGUAGGGGCAGAUAGGAGGAGAUAUAGGGGAGAUAUAGUGUAUGUAGGGGCAGAUAGGAGGAGAUAUAGGGGAUGUAGGGGCAGAAAGGAGGAGAUAUAGGGGAGAUAUAGGGGAUAUGGGGAGAUAUAGGGGAUGUAGGGGCAGAAAGGAGGAGAUAUAGGGGAGAUAUAGGGGAUAUGGGGGGAUAUAGGGGAGAUAUAGGGGAGAUAUAGGGGAUGUAGGGGCAGAUAGGAGGAGAUAUAGGGGAUAUAUAGGGGAUGUAGGGGCAGAUAGGAGGAGAUAUAGGGAGAUAUAGGGGAUGUAGGGGCAGAUAGGAGGAGAUAUAGGGAGAUAUAGGGGAUGUAGGGGC
This is a long non-coding RNA of Oncorhynchus tshawytscha (Chinook salmon), 429 nucleotides long. The record is from Ensembl. Lineage: Eukaryota; Metazoa; Chordata; Actinopteri; Salmoniformes; Salmonidae.